GUAGGUGGCAAGCGUUGUCCGGAAUUAUUGGGCGUAAAGCGCGCGCAGGCGGUUCUUUAAGUCUGAUGUGAAAGCCCACGGCUCAACCGCGGAGGGUCAUUGGAAACUGGAGAACUUGAGUACAGAAGAGGAAAGCGGAAUUCCACGUGUAGCGGUGAAAUGCGUAGAGAUGUGGAGGAACACCAGUGGCGAAGGCGGCUUUCUGGUCUGUAACUGACGCUGAGGCGCGGAAGCGUGGGGAGCAAACAGGAUUAGAUACCCUGGUAGUCCACGCCGUAAACGAUGAGUGCUAAGUGUUAGGGGGUUUCCGCCCCCCUUAGUGCUGCAGCUAACGCAUUAAGCACUCCGCCUGGGAGUACGGCCGCAAGGCUG
RNAcentral lists this ribosomal RNA (372 nucleotides) under uncultured organism. Its description in RNAcentral is "partial 16S ribosomal RNA". It matches the Rfam family "Bacterial small subunit ribosomal RNA", at positions 527 to 896 of the family's 1533-position model. The record is from RNAcentral.